AAAUCUAUAAAAACUUGUUUUGAAAACAAGCAUCAGAAAUUAUUUCUUAGGUUUU
This 55-nucleotide transfer RNA is filed under the name Lovenula raynerae. Its description in RNAcentral is "tRNA-Ser". Lineage: Eukaryota; Metazoa; Arthropoda; Copepoda; Calanoida; Diaptomidae. The record is from RNAcentral.